AAUCAACGCUGGCGGCGUGCCUCAGACAUGCAAGUCGAACGAUUAAAGCUCUCUUCGGAGAGUGUAUAGAGUGGCGCACGGGUGAGUAACACGUAAGUAAUCUACCUUCGAGUGGGGAAUAACGUCCGGAACGGACGCUAAUACCGCAUAAUGCAGCGGCAUCGCAAGAUGACAGUUGUUAAAGAUUUAUCGCUUGAAGAGGAGCUUGCGGCAGAUUAGCUAGUUGGUAAGGUAACGGCUUACCAAGGCUACGAUCUGUAUCCGGUCUAAGGGACGGUCGGACACACUGACACUGAAUAACGGGUCAGACUCCUACGGGAGGCAGCAGUCGGGAAUUUUGGGCAAUGGGCGAAAGCCUGACCCAGCAACGCCGCGUGAAGGAUGAAGUAUUUCGGUAUGUAAACUUACGAAAGAAUAGGAAGAAUUAAUGA
Molecule: ribosomal RNA, 431 nt
Filed under: uncultured bacterium
Lineage: Bacteria
Description: bacterial SSU rRNA
Rfam family: Bacterial small subunit ribosomal RNA
Source: RNAcentral